UACGGAGGGGGCGAGCGUUAUUCGGAAUUAUUGGGCGUAAAGGGCGCGUAGGCGGCCUUGCAAGUCAAAGGUGAAAUCCCUCGGCUCAACUGAGGAACUGCCUUUGAAACUGCAAGGCUUGAGGCCGGGAGGGGGUAGCGGAAUUCCCAGUGUAGCGGUGAAAUGCGUAGAUAUUGGGGGGAACACCAGUGGCGAAGGCGGCUACCUGGACCGGUUCUGACGCUGAUGCGCGAAAGCGUGGGUAGCAAACAGG
This 253-nucleotide ribosomal RNA is filed under the name uncultured bacterium. RNAcentral's name for it is "partial 16S ribosomal RNA". It matches the Rfam family "Bacterial small subunit ribosomal RNA", at positions 524 to 776 of the family's 1533-position model. The record is from RNAcentral.